GAUGGAUUAAGAGCUUGCUCUUAUGAAGUUAGCGGCCGACGGGGGAGUAACACGUGGGUAACCUGCCCAUAAGACUGGGAUAACUCCGGGAAACCGGGGCUAAUACCGGAUAACAUUUUGAACCGCAUGGUUCGAAAUUGAAAGGCGGCUUCGGCUGUCACUUAUGGAUGGACCCGCGUCGCAUUAGCUAGUUGGUGAGGUAACGGCUCACCAAGGCAACGAUGCGUAGCCGACCUGAGAGGGUGAUCGGCCACACUGGGACUGAGACACGGCCCAGACUCCUACGGGAGGCAGCAGUAGGGAAUCUUCCGCAAUGGACGAAAGUCUGACGGAGCAACGCCGCGUGAGUGAUGAAGGCUUUCGGGUCGUAAAACUCUGGUGGUAGGGAAGAACAAGUGCUAGUUGAAUAAGCUGGCACCUUGACGGUACCUAACCAGAAAGCCCCGGCUAAAUACGUGGCAGCAGCCGCGGUAAUACGUAGGUGGGAGCGUUAUCCGGAAUUAUUGGGCCUAAAGCGCCCGCAGGUGGUUUCUUAAGCUGAUGUGAGAGCCCCCGGCUCAAUCCCCGAGGGGCUUGGAAAAGGGAGACU
This 589-nucleotide ribosomal RNA is filed under the name Bacillus sp. (in: firmicutes). RNAcentral describes it as "bacterial SSU rRNA". It matches the Rfam family "Bacterial small subunit ribosomal RNA", at positions 68 to 642 of the family's 1533-position model. The record is from RNAcentral. Lineage: Bacteria; Bacillati; Bacillota; Bacilli; Caryophanales; Bacillaceae.